CCAAAUGGGGACGGGGAUAGACAU
This 24-nucleotide non-coding RNA is filed under the name Cricetulus griseus (Chinese hamster). The record is from RNAcentral. Lineage: Eukaryota; Metazoa; Chordata; Mammalia; Rodentia; Cricetidae.